GGGGAAUAUUGGACAAUGGGCGAAAGCCUGAUCCAGCCAUGCCGCGUGUGUGAAGAAGGUCUUCGGAUUGUAAAGCACUUUAAGUUGGGAGGAAGGGCUGCAAGUUAAUACCUUGUAGUUUUGACGGUACCUUGACAAGAAGCACCGGCUAACUACGUGCCAGCAGCCGCGGUAAUACGUAGGGUGCGAGCGUUAAUCGGAAUUACUGGGCGUAAAGCGUGCGCAGGCGGUUGUGUAAGACAGGUGUGAAAUCCCCGGGCUUAACCUGGGAACUGCGCUUGUGACUGCACGGCUAGAGUACGGCAGAGGGGGGUGGAAUUCCUGGUGUAGCAGUGAAAUGCGUAGAUAUCAGGAGGAACACCGAUGGCGAAGGCAGCCCCCUGGGCCUGUACUGACGCUCAUGCACGAAAGCGUGGGGAGCAAACA
RNAcentral lists this ribosomal RNA (426 nucleotides) under uncultured Rhodocyclaceae bacterium. Its description in RNAcentral is "bacterial SSU rRNA". It matches the Rfam family "Bacterial small subunit ribosomal RNA", at positions 356 to 774 of the family's 1533-position model. Lineage: Bacteria; Pseudomonadati; Pseudomonadota; Betaproteobacteria; Rhodocyclales; Rhodocyclaceae. The record is from RNAcentral.